CCUACGGGUGGCAGCAGUGGGGGAUAUUGCACAAUGGGGGAAACCCUGAUGCAGCGACGCCGCGUGGGUGAAGAAGCGCCUCGGCGCGUAAAGCCCUGUCAGCAGGGAAGAAAAUGACGGUACCUGAAGAAAAAGCACCGGCUAACUCAGUGCCAGCAGCCGCGGUGAUACGUAGGGGGCAAGCGUUGUCCGGUUUUACUGGGUGAAAAGGGGGAGCAGACGGCGAUGCAAGCCAGGAGUGAAAGCCCGGGGCCCAACCCCGGGACUGCUCUUGACACUGCGUGGCUAGAGUGCAGGAGGGGCAGGCGGAAUUCCUGGUGUAGCGGUGAAAUGCGUAGAUAUCAGGAGGAACACCGGUGGCGAAGGCGGCCUGCUGGACUGCAACUGACGUUGAGGCCCGAAAGCGUGGGGAGCAAACAGGAUUAGAUACCCCAGUAGUC
This 440-nucleotide ribosomal RNA is filed under the name uncultured bacterium. RNAcentral describes it as "partial 16S ribosomal RNA". It matches the Rfam family "Bacterial small subunit ribosomal RNA", at positions 338 to 795 of the family's 1533-position model. The record is from RNAcentral.